RNAcentral lists this ribosomal RNA (663 nucleotides) under uncultured Lachnospiraceae bacterium. RNAcentral's name for it is "bacterial SSU rRNA". It matches the Rfam family "Bacterial small subunit ribosomal RNA", at positions 63 to 724 of the family's 1533-position model. Lineage: Bacteria; Bacillati; Bacillota; Clostridia; Lachnospirales; Lachnospiraceae. The record is from RNAcentral.
CGAACGAAGCAUUUAGAACAGAUUAUUUCGGUAUGAAGUUUUUUAUGACUGAGUGGCGGACGGGUGAGUAACGCGUGGGUAACCUGCCUUGUACUGGGGGAUAGCAGCUGGAAACGGCUGGUAAUACCGCAUAAGCGCACAAUGUUGCAUGACAUGGUGUGAAAAACUCCGGUGGUAUAAGAUGGACCCGCGUCUGAUUAGCUAGUUGGUGAGAUAACAGCCCACCAAGGCGACGAUCAGUAGCCGACCUGAGAGGGUGACCGGCCACAUUGGGACUGAGACACGGCCCAGACUCCUACGGGAGGCAGCAGUGGGGAAUAUUGCACAAUGGAGGAAACUCUGAUGCAGCGACGCCGCGUGAGUGAAGAAGUAAUUCGUUAUGUAAAGCUCUAUCAGCAGGGAAGAUAGUGACGGUACCUGACUAAGAAGCUCCGGCUAAAUACGUGCCAGCAGCCGCGAUAAUACGUAUGGAGCAAGCGUUAUCCGGAUUUACUGGGUGUAAAGGGAGUGUAGGUGGCCAUGCAAGUCAGAAGUGAAAAUCCGGGGCUCAACCCCGGAACUGCUUUUGAAACUGUGAGGCUAGAGUGCAGGAGGGGUGAGUGGAAUUCCUAGUGUAGCGGUGAAAUGCGUAGAUAUUAGGAGGAACACCAGUGGCGAAGGCGG